GUUCUCCCAUCACUAAGCUUUACUGACCCAGAAGAUGCUUCAUAUAUUCAUUCACUGGAUACUAUGAUCCAAGGCCCAGAGCCCAACCACCAUCUCCUUUACCUUUUUUGGCUCUCAGCACUCGUCCCAGCCUUUGAGCCUCCUGCCUUCGCGACCCACCAUGGGAUGAAAUCUGGAUGAGAACAUUGGCUUCUGGCAGAUCGAAGGACGUGUCACCCACCUACAACAGAGCAACAGCCUCUGAGCAGGAUCUUAAUUCCACGUAUCACUAACAAACAAUAAAUACAAAGCACACCUUUCUUUGUGAGCUGCAAUAUGAAGAUGUCAAAUGCACACCAUGCAUGUGUAACUUCAAUAAAGUUGACUCUGACAACAGGUA
Long non-coding RNA from Manacus vitellinus (golden-collared manakin), 379 nucleotides. RefSeq lists it as uncharacterized. The transcript is spliced from 2 exons. NCBI's taxonomy places the organism in Eukaryota, Metazoa, Chordata, Aves, Passeriformes, Pipridae. The record is from RefSeq and is a predicted model, not a curated record.